AUUGAACGCUGGCGGCAUGCCUUACACAUGCAAGUCGAACGGUAACAGGUCUUCGGAUGCUGACGAGUGGCGAACGGGUGAGUAAUACAUCGGAACGUGCCCCGACGUGGGGGAUAACGAGGCGAAAGCUUUGCUAAUACCGCAUACGAUCUAAGGAUGAAAGCAGGGGACCGCAAGGCCUUGCGCGUUUGGAGCGGCCGAUGGCAGAUUAGGUAGUUGGUGGGAUAAAAGCUUACCAAGCCGACGAUCUGUAGCUGGUCUGAGAGGACGACCAGCCACACUGGGACUGAGACACGGCCCAGACUCCUACGGGAGGCAGCAGUGGGGAAUUUUGGACAAUGGGCGAAAGCCUGAUCCAGCAAUGCCGCGUGCAGGAUGAAGGCCUUCGGGUUGUAAACUGCUUUUGUACGGAACGAAAAGGCUCUGGCUAAUACCUGGGGCACAUGACGGUACCGUAAGAAUAAGCACCGGCUAACUACGUG
Molecule: ribosomal RNA, 482 nt
Filed under: uncultured bacterium
Lineage: Bacteria
Description: partial 16S ribosomal RNA
Rfam family: Bacterial small subunit ribosomal RNA
Source: RNAcentral